This is a long non-coding RNA of Perognathus longimembris pacificus (Pacific pocket mouse), 1837 nucleotides long. RefSeq lists it as uncharacterized. Lineage: Eukaryota; Metazoa; Chordata; Mammalia; Rodentia; Heteromyidae. The record is from RefSeq and is a predicted model, not a curated record. The transcript is spliced from 3 exons.
AAGAAAACCUCAAGACUUCUAAUCAUGGGUGGGUUCUUCAAAAUUUUAUGUUACUGAAUUAUAACAUUUGAACACUAUAAUAAUGGAAGAGAAUUUAUUAUACAACUUGUAUAGGGUACUCGACUGCAGGACUACACGUUAUUUUUGGGGCGUAAUCUCACAAAUUUUUCAGGUUUGAAAUUUGUGGAUCAUACCUCAGUCCAUAAAGAAUGUGGAUUUUUAGGGAAGGAUCACUUUAAUCCUAUGUGAAAAAAAAUUUCAACACAGAUAUUCCUGGUAACCUUAGCCUUAGAGAUGGAGGGUGUGCUUGUGUGUAUUCAUAUUCCCACAAAUACAGAAAGAAAAGCACUUCUUUAAAACAGAUGUAGGUACUUCAGUUCCUAAUGCCAGUCAGCUAGAUGUCUAGAAGGAAAUGCCCCCCCCCCCCCGCCCAGUGUGUGCUAGUGGUGCCUUGGAAUAUAUACUCUUUCACAUGCCAUCUUUACACCAAAGAUCUAAGGUACUGAUAGUCACUGAGACUUAUUUUCCCCUGAAAAACCAUCUUAGUUGGUUAAAAUGAAUUAUUAUUUCAGGUUUCGUUUAGUCACAGUAGUCACAGAGUUUAGGAAGGAACCUUCUAACACUAUACAGAUAUGUACAGGAACAUGUGAUCAGAAACAAACCAAAAAGAGCAAAGCUUUCUUCUCCUACUCAAAUAAAUCCUUGAUUAUAUCAGUAGGGUAGGAAUUAGCAGAAAUAGUGUAGUUUCUUGUGCUGCCUUUGCCAAAGAACACAAAAAUAUCUGCUACCUUAAGCUGUUCAGUAAGAAUGUGUAUAGGUUAGAGAUGACAGUUAGAGAUUUAUUGGAGGAUAACAUUAUCUGACAUCUACUAUUAUUUUUAAAUACCAUGAGAACAAAACUGUUUCUAGCUAACAGCCCUAGGAAAAAAACACCUUCUGCCAGGCUCCAUAGACUACUUAGCAAACCUGUGCCCAUCAAUUAGAAAACUGUAUCAUGCAAGGGGAGCCAGAGCCAUCUCUGAUGUUUUAUGAAGCAAAGAAACAACAGCUUUUUAAUUUCCGCUGUGACACACUGAAGUGGAUCGAGGUUGACAUGAAACAGUCCAAGAUUCAGUUUAGAAAAGUGAAUGAAGGACACAUUUUUCCUUGUUGGAAAUGUGCUUCCAGCAGAAGAGUAGAGCGCACUUCUGACCACAUAAGAAUCACUCUUCUUUGGGAGAAGCAAACUCCCAUCAGGUUUAGCAGACCCAGAGUCUACUUUACCUGCAUUUCUAAUGGACAGAGGCAAUCUAGUUUGCUGUAAAUUACAUUAAGAAUUUCAUCUAUCACUUGGACACUUUCUGUGGUUAGGCUAGAGUGCUGUCUCAAGUUGUUCAAUAUCCAGAGAUGAUUCUGUUUCAUUGCUUUGGACGUUUAAAAAUUUUAUUUUCCUAGUCAAGGACGUUAACAUGGUUAUUAUUUCAAUUAUAAGCCUGUCAGAUAGUCCCCUAUAAAUAAUGUAGCCUACCAGAGUAUCACAUUUUUAGAGCUCUUCUUACAUUGUGUGACCCUCUCUUACUCAUCCCUAAGGCUUUAAACUAUAGCUAUACCCCUGACGUUAAUUUACACUCUGUGCUAAGACAAUACAGUGUAUUAAAAAAAUAUAAUACAUCAGAGAUUUUCAGUGGAAACACGAAAAUUAGAAUCACUUGGCUGGGUAGUGGGUUAGGAAGAGAAUAAAAACUACAAAUAAUGUGCUUCACCCCAGAACAAGUAAGAAACUCUAGAGGGUGAGGAAGCACGUGGGCUACAAUACCAGCAUCUAAGCGCUAAAUAAUUUGCUGGCUAAAUGAAGUAA